CGCGCAGGCGGGUUUUUAAGUCUGUCUUAAAAGUUCGGGGCUUAACCCCGUGAGGGGAUGGAAACUGGAAACCUAGAGUAUCGGAGAGGAAAGCGGAAUUCCUAGUGUAGCGGUGAAAUGCGUAGAUAUUAGGAAGAACACCAGUGGCGAAGGCGGCUUACUGGACGGUAACUGACGUUGAGGCUCGAAAGCAUGGGUAGCGAACA
RNAcentral lists this ribosomal RNA (206 nucleotides) under uncultured bacterium. RNAcentral's name for it is "partial 16S ribosomal RNA". It matches the Rfam family "Bacterial small subunit ribosomal RNA", at positions 568 to 774 of the family's 1533-position model. The record is from RNAcentral.